Long non-coding RNA from Ostrea edulis (European flat oyster), 237 nucleotides. RefSeq lists it as uncharacterized. NCBI's taxonomy places the organism in Eukaryota, Metazoa, Mollusca, Bivalvia, Ostreida, Ostreidae. The transcript is spliced from 2 exons. The record is from RefSeq and is a predicted model, not a curated record.
AUGUACACAUAUAUCUAAUAUUACUUACUUUCAUGGGAGUGUGAACUUGAUUUUUUUAUCUUCUUAAACAUUUUCAUUGCAGAACCAAAUAAGUUAUCUAAAAAACCAAAGCAAAUAUUGAAAGUAAAAAGGAAAUUACCUUUGAAGUCUAAUGGUUUUUCUGAAGAUGAUGCAAAUCCAGUUUCCCCAAAGUGAAAAUGUUUCUCUGUAACAGAUUUAAAAGAAAUACAUAUAAUA